AUUGAACGCUGGCGGCAUGAUUUACACAUGCAAGUCGAACGGUAACAGGCCGCAAGGUGCUGACGAGUGGCGAACGGGUGCGUAAUGCAUCGGAACGUGCCCAGUCGUGGGGGAUAACUACUCGAAAGAGUAGCUAAUACCGCAUACGAUCUAUGGAUGAAAGCGGGGGACCGUAAGGCCUCGCGCGAUUGGAGCGGCCGAUGUCAGAUUAGGUAGUUGGUGGGGUAAAGGCUCACCAAGCCAACGAUCUGUAGCUGGUCUGAGAGGACGACCAGCCACACUGGGACUGAGACACGGCCCAGACUCCUACGGGAGGCAGCAGUGGGGAAUUUUGGACAAUGGGCGCAAGCCUGAUCCAGCAAUGCCGCGUGCAGGAAGAAGGCCUUCGGGUUGUAAACUGCUUUUGUACGGAACGAAACGGCUCUGGUUAAUACCCGGGGCUAAUGACGUUACCGUAAGAAUAAGCACCGGCUAACUACGUG
This 482-nucleotide ribosomal RNA is filed under the name uncultured bacterium. RNAcentral's name for it is "partial 16S ribosomal RNA". It matches the Rfam family "Bacterial small subunit ribosomal RNA", at positions 30 to 507 of the family's 1533-position model. The record is from RNAcentral.